GAUGAACGCUGGCGGCGUGCUUAACACAUGCAAGUCGAACGGUGAAGGCGGAGCUUGCUCUGCUGGAUCAGUGGCGAACGGGUGAGUAACACGUGAGCAAUCUGCCCCUGACUCUGGGAUAAGCGCUGGAAACGGCGUCUAAUACUGGAUACGAGCUGCGAAGGCAUCUUCAGCAGCUGGAAAGAACUUCGGUCAGGGAUGAGCUCGCGGCCUAUCAGCUUGUUGGUGAGGUAACGGCUCACCAAGGCGUCGACGGGUAGCCGGCCUGAGAGGGUGACCGGCCACACUGGGACUGAGACACGGCCCAGACUCCUACGGGAGGCAGCAGUGGGGAAUAUUGCACAAUGGGCGAAAGCCUGAUGCAGCAACGCCGCGUGAGGGACGACGGCCUUCGGGUUGUAAACCUCUUUUAGCAGGGAAGAAGCGAAAGUGACGGUACCUGCAGAAAAAGCGUCGGCUAACUACGUG
RNAcentral lists this ribosomal RNA (468 nucleotides) under uncultured bacterium. RNAcentral's name for it is "partial 16S ribosomal RNA". It matches the Rfam family "Bacterial small subunit ribosomal RNA", at positions 28 to 507 of the family's 1533-position model. The record is from RNAcentral.